This 127-nucleotide small RNA is filed under the name Marmota monax (woodchuck). Lineage: Eukaryota; Metazoa; Chordata; Mammalia; Rodentia; Sciuridae. The record is from RNAcentral.
ACCAGGCGUGGUGACGCACACCUGUAAUCCCAGCACCUCGGGAGGUUGAGGCAGGAGAACUGCAAGUUCAAGGCCAGACUCAGCAACUUGAUAAGGCCCUGAGCAACUUAGCAAGCCCCUGUCUCAA